AUAAAGCAUAGUUAUCAAAUUGAGAUUUCGAUCAUAAAUCAGAAGAUAUGUUUUUCAAAUUGUGAGUCAAAUCUUAUUAUGAAUUGUAAGAUACAUUACCGAUAAAGAAUGGCAAUUUUAUAAAAAAAUAAAAUAAUAAUUGACAUAGCAAAAUUGGGAUUCAGUAGAAUAAAUUGGGAUUUUUCAUAGUGAAUCAGAAUUCAUCACAAUGAAUCAGAAUUAAAUGUGGGAUAUAGUGAAUCAGAAUUCAUCACAAUGAAUCAGAAUUAAAUGUGGGAUAUAGUGAAUCAGAAUUCAUCACAAUGAAUCAGAAUUAAAUGUGGGAUUCGUGUACAAAAUAGAUACACACACUAAGGAUUUGUAUCGAAUGGGUCAUGUCUUGUAUCAAAUUGAGAUACGACUUGCAAAUAUCGUACGAUACUGAUAACCAUGGUAUGAAGUAUCAAAAUAAGAACCCCAAACCUUAUUAUCAAGUGUAUUGCCACACCCUCAAGUAGGGCUGUGCAAAAACUGUUGACCCGCCCGAAACCCGGUAAACCCGACAAUGGAAAAGGGAAACGGGCGGAUUGAAGUGGGUCACGGGUCAACUAUGUACAUUUUUCAGUUUCACAUGGGUGGAAUUGGACGGGUGCGGUUUGAAAUUUUUUGAUCCGAUGGGACUCAAACCCGACCGAAUGUGACCCAAUUAGUAUAAUAGAGUACUAGUAUCUUUAUAAAAUGUCCAAUCACAAUGUAUGUAGAACACAGCUAUAUGUUCCUUGAAACAAGAAAAAGCAUACAUUGGAACCAUAAAAGUAAAUGUUACUGCUACACGUUUAAUAUUUUUGCAGAAGUCACAUGCCUACAUUAGCUAGUACAUGGAGAAUGGGCAUGUUCAAUUUAUUUAUUAAAUAUAUAAUAUAGAAAUCAAUGACACGUUUAACACUUUAACUUAUAGAAACUUAGAAAGUACUACUAGUAGUAGUAUUUUCACAUUAAAAAAUACAACUAAUAAAGCAUUAUUUUUGAUAUAAACUAAAAUACACUUCUUUUAUAAUUUUUAGUAAACUUCUUCAAAAAGAGUUAUGCAGAGACUAUCCCAUCUGAUUUCAAGCUUUGCCACACUCCCACCUAUCUCUUCCAUCUACAUCCCGUUCAAGCUUCUUAUUCUUCGCACUGUUCAUAUUGCUUUCCGGUGAGCAACUUUCUGUCAUCAUCUUGCUCAGUUUCGUGCAAAAUCAUCCUAUUAAAAUUAUAAAUGGAGAAGAUACAAACCGAACUAACCGAGCCGUCCAACCCGCCACCGAUUUCAACCGCACCCGACUAAACCGUUGCUCUUGAUGGUCGGAAGUGAGUCUGUUUUUGUCCUCCUCGGUUUCAUAUCAGAUGGGGUUUUUGGGACCGGAUCCGACCGAUGCCCACCCCUACCCUCAAGGAUUAGGUCCACUUUUUACAG
This is a long non-coding RNA of Trifolium pratense (red clover), 1435 nucleotides long. RefSeq lists it as uncharacterized. The record is from RefSeq and is a predicted model, not a curated record. The transcript is spliced from 2 exons. NCBI's taxonomy places the organism in Eukaryota, Viridiplantae, Streptophyta, Magnoliopsida, Fabales, Fabaceae.